UGCAAGUCGAACGAGAAUCUGUGGAAAGAGGAUUCGUCCAAUUGAAGCAGAGGACAGUGGCGGACGGGUGAGUAACGCGUGAGGAACCUGCCUUUCAGAGGGGGACAACAGUUGGAAACGACUGCUAAUACCGCAUGACACAUCGGAGUCGCAUGGCUCUGAUGUCAAAGAUCUAUCGCUGAAAGAUGGCCUCGCGUCUGAUUAGCUAGUUGGUGAGGUAACGGCCCACCAAGGCGACGAUCAGUAGCCGGACUGAGAGGUUGAACGGCCACAUUGGGACUGAGAUACGGCCCAGACUCCUACGGGAGGCAGCAGUGGGGAAUAUUGGGCAAUGGGCGCAAGCCUGACCCAGCAACGCCGCGUGAAGGAAGAAGGCUUUCGGGUUGUAAACUUCUUUUGUCAGGGACGAGUAGAAGACGGUACCUGACGAAUAAGCCACGGCUAACUACGUGCCAGCAGCCGCGGUAAUACGUAGGUGGCAAGCGUCGUCCGGAUUUACUGGGUGUAAAGGGCGUGUAGCCGGGAGGGCAAGUCAGAUGUGAAAUCCACGGGCUCAACUCGUGAACUGCAUUUGAAACUACUCUUCUUGAGUAUCGGAGAGGCAAUCGGAAUUCCUAGUGUAGCGGUGGAAUGCGUAGAUAUUAGGAGGAACACCAGUGGCGAAGGCGGAUUGCUGGACGACAACUGACGGUGAGGCGCGAAAGCGUGGGGAGCAAACAGGAUUAGAUACCCUGGUAGUCCACGCUGUAAACGAUGAAUACUAGGUGUGCGGGGACUGACCCCCUGCGUGCCGCAGCUAACGCAAUAAGUAUUCCACCUGGGGAGUACGAUCGCAAGGUUGCAACUCAAAUGAAUUGACGGA
RNAcentral lists this ribosomal RNA (862 nucleotides) under uncultured Bacillota bacterium. Its description in RNAcentral is "bacterial SSU rRNA". It matches the Rfam family "Bacterial small subunit ribosomal RNA", at positions 56 to 917 of the family's 1533-position model. The record is from RNAcentral. Lineage: Bacteria; Bacillati; Bacillota.